UGCAACCCGACUCCGUGAAGCUGGAUUCGCUAGUAAUCGCGCAUCAGCCAUGGCGCGGUGAAUACGUUCCCGGGCCUUGUACACACCGCCCGUCAAGCCAUGGAAGCCGGGGGCGCUUGAAGUGCGUUGCCGCAAGGCGCGCCCUAGAGCGAAACCGGUGACUGGGGCUAAGUCGUAACAAGGUAUC
Molecule: ribosomal RNA, 187 nt
Filed under: uncultured bacterium
Lineage: Bacteria
Description: partial 16S ribosomal RNA
Rfam family: Bacterial small subunit ribosomal RNA
Source: RNAcentral